This 467-nucleotide ribosomal RNA is filed under the name uncultured bacterium. Its description in RNAcentral is "bacterial SSU rRNA". It matches the Rfam family "Bacterial small subunit ribosomal RNA", at positions 333 to 793 of the family's 1533-position model. The record is from RNAcentral.
GCACUCCUACGGGAGGCAGCAGUGGGGAAUAUUGCACAAUGGGCGCAAGCCUGAUGCAGCCAUGCCGCGUGUAUGAAGAAGGCCUUCGGGUUGUAAAGUACUUUCAGCAGUGAGGAAGGUGGUGUCGUUAAUAGCGGCAUCAUUUGACGUUAGCUGCAGAAGAAGCACCGGCUAACUCCGUGCCAGCAGCCGCGGUAAUACGGAGGGUGCGAGCGUUAAUCGGAAUUACUGGGCGUAAAGCGCAUGCAGGUGGUUUGUUAAGUCAGAUGUGAAAGCCCGGGGCUCAACCUCGGAAUUGCAUUUGAAACUGGCAGACUAGAGUACUGUAGAGGGGGUAGAAUUUCAGGUGUAGCGGUGAAAUGCGUAGAGAUCUGAAGGAAUACCGGUGGCGAAGGCGGCCCCCUGGACAGAUACUGACACUCAGAUGCGAAAGCGUGGGGAGCAAACAGGAUUAGAUACCCUGGUAG